This is an RNA transcript of Nicotiana attenuata, 2430 nucleotides long. RefSeq lists it as uncharacterized. The transcript has 4 exons. The record is from RefSeq and is a predicted model, not a curated record. Lineage: Eukaryota; Viridiplantae; Streptophyta; Magnoliopsida; Solanales; Solanaceae.
UAGGGCGGUUAUAUUAUGGCGGUUGGACAGAACCGCCGCAAAAUAAAGCAUAUUACGGCAUUUUUUUAGACGCCAUAUUAAUAAUUUCAAUAACAGCGGUUGUGCUCUAAGUUGCGGCGGCUCAAAUCGCCACUAUUGUAUUUCAAUUAUAUUUAUUAUUUUCCAUCUCCACAUAUUUCCCGCGACUAAUCCCGCUUUCCCCUAAUUCCUUCUUUCCCGUAAAUCCUUCAUUUCUCUCUUUCCCUUAAUCAAUCUCUUAAAAGAUAUUCUUCUCCACAAAUUUUGAAGUUCAGUGAAAGAGAAUACGAGCAGAAAAGAUUUCUUCUCCAUGGAACUCGUACAGGACAAGCAGCUUUUGGUAGCUGAAGGAUAAAAAACAGUUGCGGAAGCUAUUGGUAUCGACAUCGCCACUAAACCAUUUGAUAUGAGUAGCUCUUAUUAGUCUAAAUUUGUCCUUUCGUUUGAGUAGUUUUUCUUUUUUAAGUGCAAAUUAGUCCCUUUUUAGUGUUGAAUUACCUCUUAUCAGUGUAAAAUAAGAGUUUCCUAUUGAAUUAUAUUUAGGAGCCAAUGAGUCAUUUGGUUUCAUGUGCAAGAGAGCAUUGUGUAUGUAUAGUUUAUUUGAAAAAUGAGAGAACAGUACAUGGUGUUGGUGAAACAAGUUCGAGUUGUUUAGAGGGUUUUGGUUAAAUUACCAAUCAUAUAUUUGAACUUUCCGUGAAAUUGAUUACCGAACAGAUAUAUAACUGACUUGUGAAUUGUGAUUACCCUGUAUAAACAGUGGUCUAUGUAUUCUAAUUUUAUCUAUUGGUUUUGAAAAUAAUCUUUUUCGCUAUUUCAUUCAACUUAUUGUCUGCUAGCUUUUUACUGCCUAACUUAUUGUCUACUAGUUUUUUACUGCCUGUACUUUUUUCAUCAUGUAUGUAGAGAUGCCGAAGCAAAAUCAGGUUAAAAUCUAUUUAAAUCAGCCAUAGGGAGCUCUUCACUUGCUCCAGAGGAAUCAUCUCACGCUCAGUCUCAGGCACAAGCUUCAUCUUCUUCAUCUGAUCGAGCAUGUUAUUCCAUCUUCAUUCAUCAUCUGAUGGAGUCGCCUCUUCACUGCCUGUCAUUCCAUCUACAUCACCUGAUGAAGUGGUCUCUUCACGGCGUGUUAGAUGUAGACGAGUUUCUAACAAAGGAGUUACAUAUGACUCGGAGCCUCGUUAUUGGUUUGUCAUUGUUAUAGCCUCGAUUUUUCUUUAGGAUUGAUCCGCAGAGGGUAAAAAAAUAGAUUGAUAAUUCUCUUAACAAAAAAUGGAAGGAAUUCAGGCUUAAACUAUGGCGUGAGGCUGAUGAUCUAUUAUUGAGUAGAGAAGAUAUCAUCAAGAAUUCUCCAGAAGGAAUUCCCAUGGACCAAUGCGUACUGAAUGUUAACUACCGUUUGAAACCCGAAACAAAGGUACUUCUUCCUCCUCCUCAUCUUCUGCUUCUGCUUCUAUCUUUUUUCCUUCUUUGUUGUUUUGAUUAAUUAAAGCAGAAGUGCAACUUGACAUUAUUUUAGAUGUUAAUGUUUCAAAGCUGCUGAACUGUAACUAGCUUUGAAUAUUUAAUCUCCACAGUUCGGUUUCCUGUUGAACCUGUAUGUUCUUUCGGAGAAUUUUAGACUAUUGAAGGUUGAUAGGUUGGUGUACCCUGAAUGUUGUUUCCUUCAGUUUGUCUAUAAGAAGGUUAACUUUGGGGUUUUGCUGAUCAGAGAAUGUUUUGCUGAAGCUUUGGGGUGAUUUUGCGGCUAUUUGCGGUUGGCUUUUCAGUUAUUUUGGUGCUGGGUUUCAAAGGUAUUUUGAUGGACUUAUGGAGGUGUUUCCAGGCUGUUUUGAGGUGGAGUUGGCAGCACUUUUUAGCUGCUGUUUCGGAUCUUUUUGAGGCUGUUUUGGCCCCCCUUUUUAACUGGUUUUUGGUGAGUUAUGGCUGGGAUUGUGCUGGUGGUUUUUGGUGAGUUUGGGGCUACUUUUUAGCUCAUUGUUGGAGCUGUUUCGAGGUCGUUUUUGGUGCUUUAAUGGUGUUGAUUUCACAGGUUGUUUUGCUGCGUGUUUUGGGGUGAUUUCGGAUAUUUAACGGCUGGUAUUAUGGGUGUUUAAUGGAGAAAAAUGGUAAAGAAAAUGGAGUAUUGUUAAUGAGAGCAAAAGGGACCUUUUUGGUAGUUUUGGGCUGAUUUUGGCAGCUAUUUUCUGGUGGUCUAAGACAUACAAUUUAGGAAGUGGCGCUCCUUCACCAAUUGGGCAAAGAAGAUCCUUCGAUGGAAGUAGAUAGAGCGAAUUGACAAUUAGUAAUCGUUUAGGAUCAACUUUAUUUUUUGGUAUUCUUGCUGAAUAACUUUGAAAGUAACAAUCUGGAUGAUGUAUUUUUGAGUACCUAUAUUUUAUACGAUGAAUAUUUUGUUUAUUUGAUUUUUUA